This 45-nucleotide non-coding RNA is filed under the name Schistosoma mattheei. Lineage: Eukaryota; Metazoa; Platyhelminthes; Trematoda; Strigeidida; Schistosomatidae. The record is from RNAcentral.
AUCCAGCUGACGAGUGCCAAACAGGAUGAAACACGCGUCCUGAAU